Molecule: ribosomal RNA, 496 nt
Filed under: uncultured bacterium
Lineage: Bacteria
Description: partial 16S ribosomal RNA
Rfam family: Bacterial small subunit ribosomal RNA
Source: RNAcentral
AUGAACGCUGGCGGCGUGCCUAAUACCUGCAAGUCGAGCGAACGGACGAGAAGCUUGCUUCUCUGAUGUUAGCGGCGGACGGGUGAGUAACCCGUGGAUAACCUACCUAUAAGACUGGGAUAACUUCGGGAAACCGGAGCUAAUACCGGAUAAUAUUUUGAACCGCAUGGUUCAAAAGUGAAAGACGGUCUUGCUGUCACUUAUAGAUGGAUCCGCGCUGCAUUAGCUAGUUGGUAAGGUAACGGCUUACCAAGGCAACGAUGCAUAGCCGACCUGAGAGGGUGAUCGGCCACACUGGAACUGAGACACGGUCCAGACUCCUACGGGAGGCAGCAGUAGGGAAUCUUCCGCAAUGGGCGAAAGCCUGACGGAGCAACGCCGCGUGAGUGAUGAAGGUCUUCGGAUCGUAAAACUCUGUUAUUAGGGAAGAACAUAUGUGUAAGUAACUGUGCACAUCUUGACGGUACCUAAUCAGAAAGCCACGGCUAACUACGUG